RNAcentral lists this long non-coding RNA (688 nucleotides) under Salvia miltiorrhiza (redroot sage). Its description in RNAcentral is "long non-coding RNA (SMIL_LNC000802)". The record is from RNAcentral. Lineage: Eukaryota; Viridiplantae; Streptophyta; Magnoliopsida; Lamiales; Lamiaceae.
CGACUNCCUCUCUCACAAGAGUCUCUAUCUCUCUCUCUCUCUCUCUCUCUCUCUCUCUCUCUCUCACACACACACACACACACACAGGAAAGCAUGGAGUGGUCUGAUAAAUGUGGUUGGCUGUCAUGUUUCAGGAUGGAUGAUCAUGAAAGGAGGAGGGAGACCAUGAAAAGGAAGAAAUUUCAAGAAGUGUUGCAGCUACAUGAGAUGAUUAGGGCCCAAAAGGGAGAGGCUUCAGCCAAUGAAAGUGAGAACCGUGAAGGGGCUGCUGCAACAAAUGAGUUCUGUCCAUGCAUUUCUCUACCCUGUACUGCAAAAGCUGCAUAACUACUAUAUUUCCUUAGUACUAUUAGGUUCUAGGUUUCUUUUUUUCUUCUAUUGUUGCUUUUCAUUAUGAAUGUUGUGAGAUAUGGUAAAUUCUCUAUUGGGAUUGGAUGCCAUAAAAAUCUUCUAUCCACCCUUUUUUGGGGUAAUUCUUCCCAUGUAAGACAAAGAGAACAGAGAGGUGGAAUGUUAUAGAAAGUAUAACAUCUUACAACAGUACUACUUGUUGAAUAGACAUAUUUUGCCCCCUACUAAGGGGUCUGUAAGAGCUAAGAGCUAAAACCUUGCUAGCAGUUGCAACAUGUUUUAGAUACAUUUGAGCUCAGAAUAAUAUGAGCAGGCUUGGAGAAAUUAUUUAUACAGA